This 295-nucleotide long non-coding RNA is filed under the name Phoenix dactylifera (date palm). Its description in RNAcentral is "long non-coding RNA (PDAC_LNC021203)". Lineage: Eukaryota; Viridiplantae; Streptophyta; Magnoliopsida; Arecales; Arecaceae. The record is from RNAcentral.
CAGAUCAGCCUGAGCCUCCUUAUGCUUCGCCUCGGCAGCAAUGCGAGCGGCCUCAGCCUCCUCCAGGCGCGAAUGAAGCUCCUGGUCGCUCACGCGGGACUUCUCCAAGGCCGACUCCAAUUCGCCCAGCUUGGCUUCAAGAGACCGGGUUCGGUUGCGGGCGUUGUCGGCUGACCGCUGGGCCUUCUCCCACCUCUCCCGGUAGUCGGCAGCCUUCCGGGACUGCUUCUCGGCCCGCUCCUCCGCCUUCUUGAUCUCGCCCUCGAGACCCGAGGCAACCUUGAGUUGCUCCUGA